This 301-nucleotide ribosomal RNA is filed under the name uncultured bacterium. RNAcentral describes it as "partial 16S ribosomal RNA". It matches the Rfam family "Bacterial small subunit ribosomal RNA", at positions 509 to 807 of the family's 1533-position model. The record is from RNAcentral.
CAGCCGCCGCGGGAAUACGGAGGGUGCAAGCGUUAUCCGGAUUUAUUGGGUUUAAAGGGUCCGUAGGCGGAUCUGUAAGUCAGUGGUGAAAUCUCACAGCUUAACUGUGAAACUGCCAUUGAUACUGCAGGUCUUGAGUAAAUUUGAAGUGGCUGGAAUAAGUAGUGUAGCGGUGAAAUGCAUAGAUAUUACUUAGAACACCAAUUGCGAAGGCAGGUCACUAAGAUUUAACUGACGCUGAUGGACGAAAGCGUGGGGAGCGAACAGGAUUAGAUACCCGAGUAGUCCCUGUCUCUUAUAC